AGAAAAAGAGGUGUGUUCUGUGGGUGCAAGGCUGGUGUCCCCAGCAUCUUCUGAUAACGGAAAUGAAGAAAGCAAGUAAGGGUUGGGGGUUUCCUCUGGCCUUCCCACCUGGUCUCUGUACCCUCCCCCCAUCCCUCUGGCCUUCUUCCUCAGGAACAAUUGACAGAGCCUCUGGAAAAUGCAUGUGGAUGAGGGCAUUGAUGGGAGGACACUCUAAAUCUUCCCACCUGUCCCUUAGCUGCCUUCCUCGUCUCUGGUUGGGGUUCACUCGGGGUUCCAAAGAGCACGUGGGGGAAAUUUGAGAGCUUCCUCACCUGUGACCAGGAGCUUCACAGGCUCACUGGGGAAAGACCAGGCGUGGUUGUUAUAAGAGCCAAAGCAUCUGUAUGUCCCUCUGUGGGCUGUGCUCACAGGGCCCACGGGGAACCCCACCUGGGUGUUCCCGUAUCUGGGCUGUGGGCGGCUGGAUCUUCCCUCCUUGAGCAGAAAGAACAUGUUUGUUGCAGUCUCUAGACGGCAAUAGAAGGUCACAUUGUCUCCUGAGCUCACCUCAGGCCUGGGAUGAACAGAGAGGGUGGGUGUGUCAUACAUUUCUGUGGGAGAAGGAGACAGGUAGGUUAAAAGUCAUUAUCCCGCUUCCCAUAGCUCCCAUCCCCCCUUCGCCUUAAGACUGGGACGUCACUCGCCGCAAUCUCUCUCUCUUCUGUUUUGGUCAUGGACACACCCUCCCCGAUGUCUCCCUUCAAGACUGAGACACUCCCUCCUCCAGAUUUCAGGAGCAUUAAUAUGAAUCUCUCUCUGGGAAUUGCCCCACGUCAGUGGUUCUGAGUUAGAGAUCCUUGGGUCCAGUGACAUCAGCAUCGCCUGGAAGCUUUUUUUUUUUUUAGAAAUGCAGAUCACCAGGCUCCACCCCAGACCCGCUGCAUCAGAAACUCAGGGGUAGGGCAGCCAUCUUUGUUUUUAAAAACUAUUAUUGUUUUCAAUUGUUAUAAAAUACACAUAACAUAGCAUUUACCACCUUAACCAUUAAAAAAAAUUUUUUGAUAUUUAUUUUUGAGACAGAGAGAGACAGAGCACAAACAGGGGAGGGUCAGAGAGAGAGGGAGACACAGAAUCCAAAACAGGCUCCAGGCUCUGAGCUGUCAGCACAGAGCUCCGUGCAGGGCUUAGAACCCACGAACCAUGAGAUCAUGACCUGAGUCGAAGUCGGACACUUAACCGAUUGAGCCACCUAGGCGCCCCUCCCCACAUCUUAACCAUUUUUAAGGGUACAGUUCAGUGGCACUAAGCACAUUCACAUCGCUUUGUGUAGGCAUCCUCACCAUCGGUCUUCAGAAAUCUUUUCAUCUUGCAAAUCUGAAACUCUGUCCCCGUUAUUAAACACCAUCUCCCCAUCCCCGUCCCCCAGCCUCUGACAGCCACCAUUCUGCUUUCUGUCUCUAUGUAUUUGACCAUCCUGGGUCCUAUACGGAAGUGGAACCAGACAGUAUUUGUCCGUGUGUGACUAUCUUAUCUCACCGAGCGUAAUAUCCUCAAGGUUCAUCCAUAUUGUAGCAGGUGUCAGAAUUUCCUUCCUUUUUAAGGCCAAACAAUAUUCCGUUGUGUGUAUAGACCACAUUUUGUUUAUCUGUUCCUUGGUCAAUAGACACUGGGGUUGUUGCUACCUUUUGGCCACUGUGAAUAGGGCUUUGGUGCACAUGGGUGCACUAAAGCCAUCUGUGUUAUCAUGGACCCUCCAAGUGAUUCUGAUACCUGCUUAAGUGGGAGAAUGGCAUCCCUCACCUUCCUUAACUGAGACAGCCUUCCCUCCCAACUCCAUUCUAUCUGGUCUUUUUCCAUACCGUUAUUUCCUCCUCAUGUGCUUAUAAUUGAUAGAUUUACCCUAAACUUGACUCAUGGUCUGUCUUCUCCCGCUAGAAAUCAAGUGCCACAAAAGCAGAUGUUUGCAUGGAACCCCCAUAGGAGGGGUUCUCAUCCACUCCCUGGUUGACCCUGGUGGGUACAGAGCCCCUAGCCUCAGUUCGAGACUGCUAGGAAGGGCCAUCCCGGGUCCGGAGUUCCACAUUGGUUUGGCUGAGAUGUCGGUUGAAACCACCCCAGGGUCCACCUUCGCCUUCUGUCCAGCCUGUUUCCCUCACUUUUCAUCACAGGGGUCACUUUUGAGGAUACUCCCCAGAUACAUGCAAACAUCCAUCUCAGAACAUCUCACCUGGAGAGCCUGACCUAUGACAAAUCCGCUCCUAGACCACAGAUAACCAAGGAGUGAGGUUUGGAUGACACUAAAGGAGAUUAAUAAAUGAUGACCUUCCCCGGGAUUCAGGCUUGGGGGAUGACCACAGAUAGAGGAUGGGACAUUUACCUGUUACCACCAGGUCCAGAGGGUCACUAGGAUUUGACCAGAGCUCCCCGCUUCGGUAAAUGCACCUGUAUUGCCCUGCAGUGAGCAGGGUCAUGGCUGAGAUGGGGAAUGAGACUAUGUUCCUUAUUCCAGGCUGUCUUGGGCUCUGCCGGGCAGAGAGGCGUCCCUCGAAAUACAGCUGGUACUCAGUGGCCUCAGGAAUCCCCUGGCAUAAGAUCUUUACUGGCCUUCCCUUCGGAAUCAUGAAAUUGGGCUUGGCCCAGAUGAUGGGUUUUGAGAGAAUCUCUGUAAGGGGAUCAGAGGCAGGAGUUCUACAUAAAGCCCCUUCCCACCCACAUUUCCACCCGGUUGCUGGCCUCAAGCCUUCCUAGCAAACCAGAGCCCCUGUCCCCUCCUCCGGUUGCUUGUAGGUGGAUACUUAGCCUGAGCCCAGAAAAGAGACCCUGGGGCUCUGACGGAGGGACUCACGUGUCUGGGCGCCGAUGGUCUGGCUCAGAUACAGCCCUGGAAGACAGGAACAGUGAGCCAUGCCACCCCACCCAUGUCCAGACCCAGGAUUGUGUCUCCCUCUCAGGAGAGAACUCACCAAGGCAGAGCAGGGCAGUGAAUGUGGAGGUCAUAGCCUAGAUUCUUCCAGACGAAUGUGGAGAUGGAGGCCAGCAGGCCAGCAGGCCAGGAAGAUGCCACAGGAUGUGGUGGGUAAAGCCUAGCACUAAUUGCCAUGGGGCUUUCACCUGACCUUUUUUUUUUUUUUUAAACAAGAGUAGGUUCACGGUUUUCCCUCUACCUCUGACCAUGAGGUAUAAAGACACAUCUGAUCAUAUCUGUGGUCUAACCAGAUCCUCUGACAGUUGUGUGCCCCACCUGAAACUCAUUCGUUUCAGGGCCCACUUCUAAAAUCUGAAAUGUGGACAUUACACCCAGGGAAGGCAGAAGACGAUGUACAGAGAAGAAACCUUAGAAUCAUUUAAAAAAUAUGUGUUUAGGGGCACCUGGGUGGCUCAGUCGGUUGAGUGUCCAACUUUGGCUCAGGUCAUGAUGUCACAGUCUGUGGGUUCUAGCCCUGCAUCGGGCUCUGUGCUUAUAGCUCAGAGCCUGGAGCCUACUUCAGAUUCUGUGUCUCCCUCUCUCUCUGCUCUGCCCCCGCUCAUGCUCUGUCUGUCUGUCUGUCUCUCUCUCAAAAAUAAAUCAACAUUAAAAGAAAGUUUUUUUAAAUAUGUGCUUAGCCUUGGCUCCCCUCUGUUUGUUGUGCAUGUGCUUGGGAAAGUUCAUUGGUGUCAUCAGAAUGGAAUGAUAACACUAUCUUCUCCAAAGUUUCAUUACGAUGUUUCAACAAAAUGCUGUUUUUUAAAUGAAAAUGUCCUGUUUUUUACAUAAGUAUAUUCCUUUAGUCUGUUAUAAAGCAGAAAUUAAAUAUUAAAAUAUUUAACAUUUUAACAUAUUUUGAAAUUCAAAAUGUGUUCAUAUUUUUCCCUCCAAAGGUCUAAACGAUGUUUGAAAAUGAAAUGUUAUGCCAAUUUAUGUCGUGCCUUACAUUCUAUGAGGAGAUCUCUCUCAAUCUGGUAUCUUUUGUUCUUCUUUCUUGAUUUUGUGGUUGAACAUAUUCCAUUCACUUUCUUAUUUAUAUAUAGCAAAAUCCACUCUUUUCCUGUUCAGUUCUGUAUGAGUUGUGAUAAACGUAUACCGUCAUGUAACCGACACCUAAGUCAAAAUGUAGGACAGUUUCGCCCUCAUAUAAGUGGUGUCAGUAGUGUUUGUCCUUGUGUGUCUGACUUAUCUCACUUAGCAUGGUGUCCUCUGGGUUCAUUCCUGUGGUUGCAAAUGACAGGAUUUCUAUUCCAUUCUUUUCUGUGGCCUCCAGUCCUCAGCUCCAAAUUCCAGGACCCCUCUUCUCUAGCCAGCCAACGUUCACCCAUGCUCCCCUGUCUAGAUGGUCUCCACCAAAAUAUCCUUAUAACGUUUGGAGGAAAGGCACUGUCCUCAUGUGCCUAUAACAUCUUUCUCUUGGGUAAAGAAAAGAUCAAGCGAGAUGAUUACUGUUGAUUGACAUGGUAGCUCGCACAUCCAUUCUUGGGCAGAUUCUGACCUACAAUCGGUAGCUCUCCUCUCCCUGUGAAAAGGUCAUGUACUGGAUUGCCACUGUCUUGUCUUCCCAUAGAGGAUUUGCCAAGGACACAGUUGGGGGCUUCUUCCAGCUGACUUCCUGUGUUGCAUCAUUUAGGGAACUUAGCCUCGAUAGACUUACAGGAAGAAUGGGUGCAGAAGAAGCAGUGGGUGGGGACCAAGGGCCACCUACCGGAAUGUUUACAUUGACCACAUUUCUAGAGAGAGAACACAGCCUAUGCAUGUGAGAAACCUGGCUAUGUGCUAUGGAUUUUUUGUUUUUAAGUCACUCUUGGCUUGUGGAAACGUUUAGAUACCAAAGCAUGGGAGAGGGAGGGCAGUGGUUGCUAGCCCACAGGAGACAAUGAGGCAGGCUCAUCUGUAGAUGACAAAGAUGUCUCUAGGCCAAGAGGGCAUCUUGUCUCACCUGUCUUCCAUGAUACAUCUUAAUUUGCUCAUCAUUGUCAGCCUAAAGUCCAUCCAUAGCAUGAAGGUAAGGCUCCUGAUGAAUGGGUCCCUGCGUCAGGAAAGAGGUGGUCAUCCUUUGGGGACAAAGUGACCAGGGGUAGAGAAGUAGUUCUCUUGGAAUUGUGAAAGUUCUGCUACCCCUUGCUUCAGAGAUUUCUAGAUUCUCUUCAAGAGGCUGGUUGCCUGAUAACAUGUUCCUUUGAAAUUAUUUUCAAAGUUGGAGGGAACUCCCUGGGAUUGAAGUCAACCUGCUGGCACCAGAGAGGAUCAGGCUAACAUCUCCAUGGCAUGGCCCUAGUUGGGGUGGGAUCUGGACUUUAGAGAAUGGGUCUAGCCUCAGUUUCCUGAUGGGCUUCCUCUCUACUUACUAUUUUAAUAAUUUACACAUGCAUAAUGACAGUUCUAUAUCUCAAGUGUUUUGGCGUGCUAGUUCUCCCCUUAUAUGUUGAGGGUUCUUUGUUUCUUCACGAAGUUCGCAAUAUUUUAUUGCUGGUCAUUUAUGGGUCAACUUUUUGCAAAUUGUGGUAAAAUAUAUAUAACCAAAUUUUAUCAUUUUAACUACUUUUUUAUUGUAGCAAAAAAAAUACAUAACAUGAAAUUCACCAUCUUCACCAAGUCUAAGUAUACAGUUCAGUAGUGUGCAGUACGUUUCAUUUUUAAGUAAUCUCUACACCCAAUAUGGGGCUCAAACUCACAACCCUGAGAUCAAGUGUUGCACACUCCACUGCUGAGCCGGCCAGGCGCCCUUCAAAUCAUAUCAUUUCUAAGCCUCUGUUUGUUCAUGUGACACAUGGAUUGAUUAAAAUAAAAUUCACAGGGCUGUAGUAAGCUUUUGUAAAUGAAAUAACAUAAAGCCCAACAUAGAGGUGAAGGUCAUGAAAUGUAAGUCCUCAUACUCUUUUCCCCAAGCCACGCCUUCCAUUUAACCUAAAUCAGCCCAAUAUAUGAACUAUCAAAGGUAAAUGCACUCACCAUUCAGUGCCUGGAAUAAAAAAGGCAAAGCAGAAUUUAUUUUUACUCUGUUAAGGGAGUUAUGCUGGCUAGACAUGAUGCCUCUGAGUCUCUGAGCAGAGCCUACAGGGUUUUUGGGAAAUAUGGAUUCUCAGGGCCUCUUGUGGAUUGGCAUCAUCUGUAAAAUAUGUUUAUUGAAGGGGGACUUUAUUUUAUUUUAUUUUUUUAUUUUUUAAAAUUUACAUCCAAAUUAGUUAGCAUGUAGUGAAACAAUGAUUUCAGGAAUAGAUUCCCUAAUGCCCCUUACUUAUUUAGCCCAUCCCUGCUCCGACAAUCCCUCCAGUAACUCUUUGUUCUCUGUAUUUAAGAGUCUCUUAUGUUUUGUCCCCCUCCCUAUUUUUAUAUUAUUUUUGUUUCCCUUAUGAAGGGUUGGCUGUCACUCACAGGUGCAGUUACUGAAGUAAAUCCGUUUCUGAUUGGCUGACAUUUAGAAGCAAGGAGCUGAUUGGUUGAAUCACCAGGGCGUUUUUCAUUGAGGGGAGUGGUCAUUGCUGAUGGGUGAAAAACUGGUUCCGGCGGCUUUUUGUCAUCAUGGCUACCAGACAACGUAGUCUUUUUCUAGGAGGGGAGGGUCUUUUUAUUCCCAGGUUUACAGUAUGCUUUUCCACGCAAGGCCCUGGUGUGGACACAACCAAGUGUGUGAGGUUGAUCCUAUCUCUCUGUGGAAUCAAAUCUCAUUGCAUCUCUCAGGUCCAAAUCCUGGCUCUGAUGUAAAGUCUCUGAUUAGCCUUCCUCUGAAACUGUGGCACUUCCUCAUGGUUUUAUCUAGCCCAAUAUCUAACAUGUCCUUCAUCAACUUAUUUGUUCAUAAUCUCAAUAAAUAUUUCCAGUAUUUUAUGUUUUGCAUACCUCACAAUAGAUACUACAAAGAGAUGAUUUGAUAGACUAAGCAGCUCAAAGGACUGAGAUAACCCAGAGGAGAUGCUUGUUGGGGCUGUUUUCACAAGUCUAUCAACUUUGCAUUGGAGGCAUGAGACGUCUUGAAAUGUUAGUUUCAUAAGAACAGGAAAGUCUUUUUAACAACAGGGAAAGCAUGUGUUAAUACGCAAAUGUCAUCGUAGGGAAAACUAGAAGCACUCAUGUCAUGGGAAAUAUGGUAUGUUGAAUGGACAGUAUUAAUAAUUAAUUGGUGGUAUUAAUAAUUAAUGGCAUUCUGAAUGUUAAGGUCUUACCUAGGAGGAUGUAAGGGUACCUGGUUUGGCUGAUAAAUUCAAGACAGAUUAAAGUCUUGAGCCAGACCUUCUGUAGAGGCUGGAAAAAAAGUCAGGAUUGAGAACUAGAAAUACUUUGAAUAAUUUUUAUCACAGACAAGACUGUACCGAGGAUUUUAUCACCAAAUCUAGAAAAGUGGUGUACAACUGUAUUAGAUACAUAUAAGAAAAUACGAUUGGAUUGGUUUGAAAAUGGAUCCAAAAUUGUCAGUGCCUCUUUCUCCCUUAUGUUCUCCCAGUAGUUCUGUAGGGCUCCACAAGUGCUGACUCAUUUCUCUUUCAGUGACAGGUGGCUACCUGGUGUCUCUUAAGGCUUUGUCCAAAGGUCCAGUCUGACAUUUGUGUUUACUCCGGCUCAGUUCAGGAAAAUCUGGCCAGUCUUCCUUGUUUGGAACCUUAUGGCUGUGCCAAUUUCCAAUGACUAUGGCCAAGAGAGCCACAAGGACCAGUCCUGCCACGCCCAUUCGGAUCAAAUUCUCCAUUGUGUAAUCUUGGUUCAUUAUAUCUGUGGACAUAAUUCAAAGGAGAUGAGCAAUUAUUGGUCAUGUUCCGUUUCAUCCCAACACAGAGCCCUGAAAAGGAGCUCAUUUCCCUAUUUGUUCUUCCACUAAACCCCCACCCUCAAUAAGCUCAUGCAUUCACGAGUGCCAUACUUAGUCUGUGAGCCUGGAUCCAAGGGGCAUCUUAUGAACAGGAAAGGAGGUGAUUAUGGGGAUGUUGUGUUGGCUCUUGAAUCCCUCUUCAUGUAGUAAUUUCCCUCAAAGUCUAGUCAAAGCCUUGCAGUCAAAUGUUCUGCUGCUGAGCUAUAUCCCCUACAUGCACCCCAAUGUUUAUAGAAGCACAAUCAAUAAUAGCCAAAGUAUGGAAAGAGCCCAAGUGCCCAUUGACUGGUGAAUGGAUACAAAGAUGUGGUAUAUAUAUAUACAAUAGAAUAUUACUCAGUGAUAAAAAAAAGAAUGAAAUCUUGCCAUUUGCAACAACAUAGAUCCAACCAAAGUGUAUUAUGCUAAGUGAAAUGAGUCCAUCAGAGAAAGACAAAUAUCGUAUGAUUUCAUUCAUAUAUGGAAUUUAAGAAACACAAAAGAUGAACAUAUAGGAAGGAAAGGAAAAAUAAGAUAAAAACAGAGAGGAGGCAAACUAUAAGAGACUCUUAGAUACAGAGAACAACCUGAGUGUUGCUGGAGAGGAGGUUGUGGGGCGGGGUGGUGAGCCAAAUGGGUGAUAGACAUUAAGGAGAACGCUUGUUGGGAUGAGUAUUGGGUAUCAUAUGUAAGUGAUGAAUCAUUGGGUUCUACUCCUGAAGCCAAGACUACAAUGUAUGUUAACUACCUUGAAUUUAAAUAAAUAAAUUAAAUUUAAAAACCCACAGCCUUGCAACACAUUCAUGUAUUCAGAAUAGUACAUUUUCUCUACACUUUCCUCACCCCACAUAACAAUUUGUGUUCCUCUUCCAUGUGUGACAAAGGAUAUGGUAUGGUUGGUAUCUGGGAAGUAGCUAGGAGAAAGUCUUCAGAUAAUCUUUGGUAAAAUUUAUCUCCACUCUUGUGUGACUGUUCACUAGACAUUGCUGUUCUCUGAAACUUUAAAAAAAUUUUCUUCAUUUGUUAUAUGGGCUUCAUAGGCCUAUGUGCCAGGAAUUAAUAAAGUACUGUGAGAUUACAAUGCUCAUAAAUUGUAGUAACUCUCUCUGGUUAAAAUACAGAAAUUAGGGGCACCUGGGUGGCUCAGUCGGUUAAGUCCGACUUUAGCUCAGGUCAUGAUUUCAUGGUUCGUGAGUUCAAGCCCCGCUGUCAGAGCAGGGUCUGCUUCAAAUCCUCUGUCCCCUUCUCUCUCUGCCCCUCCCCCUCUCGUGCUCUCCCUCUCCCUCUCUCAAAAAUAAAUAGACAUUAAUAAAUACAGAAAUUAAUUUCAAACGGAUUUGGAUUUUCAGAUUAGAAGAUAAUACAAGAUAGUAUCAUCCCGACACUGGGACAGAUGAUUUUUAAAACAAGACAAGGUGACUAUCUACUCUAAAGAAAAAGACUAAUAGAUUCGCUCCUCCCCCAUCGAUGCCCAACUAUCCAUGCACUGUUAAAUGAAAAGAGCACUCUAGCCUAUAUGAUCUUACAGAGCCAUGGCUACUGUAUCUGCUCAGCUUGUGGAGUGAUCAGACAAAGUGGCCACAGGAGAUGAAUGCGGUUGCCCCACUCAGCGGUCAGCAGUUACUUUCUUUUGCUCGAACUUGUCUUCUCUCGCUGAGCUGAGUGAUGCAAACAGUAUAAUAAUUGGGCUUAUGCUAGAGUUUCUAGCCAAUCACUCAGAGUGGAGUCUAGUACUGAAGGUCAGUUUAAGGGUUCCCAGAUGCAGCUAAGCAUAUGAAAAAAGAGAAGUGGGUCAGUCUAAGGUGGUGUCUGGGAUCUAUGUCUCAACCACACCCCUUAACAUGAUUCUAAAUGUUGGACUCUCCAUUCUCAACAGACCACAUGUUGUUUUUUUUUAAUUGUUCUUUAAUGUUUAUUUAUUUUUGAGAGAGAGAGAGAGAGAGAGCGAGCAUGAGCGGGAGAGGGGCAGAAAGAGAGAGAGGGAGACACAGAAUCCUUAGCAGGCUCCAGGCUCUGAGAUGUCAGCACAGAGCCAGACUCGGAGCUCAAACUCAUGAACUGUGAGAUCAUGACCUGAGCCAAAGUCAGACGCUCAACUGACUGAGCCACCCAAGUGCCCCCAGACCACGUUUUUAAAGGGCACUGUCUACAGAACUCUCGGAGAGGAUGUGAAUGUUGAAUGGGGUGUGGAUGAAAGUCUUUUUCUCUUCACAGUCCUCUGCUUAAUGGCCCUCUACUACCCCACUCUUUUUUCUCAGUGUACCUUCCAUAUUCCUGCCUAAUGCCAAGAGGACGAUUCAGGGCUGGACUGGGGUGUACCUACCUGUAACCACAAGCCCCAGGGCAUCACUGGGGGCUGACCACACAUAAGGGCUGCCACUGUACCAACCAUAGCACCUGUAGUUCCCUGAGAAGUUGUGGUUCACAGGGCCUAGAAUAAAGUUGCCUUGGUGUACCCCAUUUUGGUGCUGUGACAGGGUGGCUCCUCCUUCUUUGGUCAGUGAAAAUCUAUCAAAUGGGAUGUCUGUUGAGCUGCACUGCAGGGAAAUAUUCUCUCCCAGCAUCACCACCAUGCUCUGCACUGCUGAGAGGGAGGGUUUGUCAUACAAGCCUUAAAGAAAAGAGAGUGAGCUAUUAGCAAGAUUUUUCAUCCUUUUCCCUUUAUCCUCAACACUCAUGUUGGGUCCAUCCUAAGGGAAGGCAAGAUGCUGAUAUUCCUUGAUUCAAAGGAAUGGAAGCUGGGAACUUCUCAUUUUCCUACCCCAGGACAUAUACUCUGUCCCAAAUUAUUGCAGACGGGGCUGAGCAAACAAGCAGCCUGUGAGACUUGGGUGAGAUACAAUUUUCAAGAGAUAGAGAUCUUGUUUCUAAAGCCACAAGACCCACGUGAUUCUGUUCCCAAUUACAACCUGUGGGGCUUUCCCCCACACCACCAGGAAAUUCUGAGACACCCGCUGGGCAUCCCAUAAUUCAACUUAAUUCUGACAUUAUCUCCCUGGAGAUAACGUCAGAUCCCAUAGGUUAGGAGCUCAGUCCUAUGAGACCACCCCCACUUCAGAUGCCAAUCACAAGCCCUUGCUGUCACCUGUGCUUCUGACGGAAUGGCUAUAAAUCAGAAGUUCCCAGAACUCCUUCCUUGGGUUCGCUUAAUCUGCUAGAAUGGCUUAUAGGACUCAGGAAAUCAGUUUACCCACUAGAUCACUGGUUUAUUCUAAAGGAUGAAAUCAGGGACAGCCAAAUGGUAGAGAUAAAUAAGGCCCAGGUGCCAUAUCCUUGUGCCCUGCUCUACCAGUACCUCCUUGUGCUUACCAACCUGGAUUCUCUCCUUUCGGGUUCUUAUGGAGGCUUCAUUACAUAGGCAUGAUUGAUUGAACCUUUGGCCAUUGGUGAUUGAUUCAGUCUCCAGCCCCUCUCCUCUCCUUGGAGGUAGUCCAAAAGUUAUCUCUUUGACAUAACCUCAGGAGUGGUCAAAAGGGGGUUGUUAGGAAUAGCAAAACAUCUUUGCCAUUCAUAUAACUCAGGAAAUUCCAAGGGAUUUAGGAGCUCUGUGCCAGGAACAGGAAUGAAGACCAUAUAUAUAGUUCUUACUAUAAAUCACAAUAUCACAAGCCACAUGUUAAGGAAAAGGGCGGAUAGUAUCCAAAGAGUUUGAGGAGCUAUGUCAGGGACAGAGAGAGUCGACAUUAUGUAAAAAGAAUGUCAGCAGGUAGAAAUUCAGGGUGGACUCUUCUAGAAAAAAGAUGCUUCUAGAAGCACAGGGUCAAGCCACCUUGAAGAGAGAGAGGGCUUAAAACCAAGGGCUGGAUUCAUGCAGGGAACAUAGGGAGCAUAACUAUCUCACCUGCCUCAGGUACAGGCUGCAUAUAGUGAUCUCCUUCCAUAUGGAAAGGGUUGGGAGAGAAACCUGCCUAUGCCACCUCAGCCAGGUGCUCAAUCUCAGCAUCAACAGCCAUAUUCAUUUGCAUGGUAUGUACCCUCAGUGUGAUGUGGUGAAAAUGUCACUGUGCUUCUGUGGUCUCCCUCACAAUGAUCCAACGACCCCAGCAACUUCCAGACAACUUCCAAUAUUGGGACAUUCUACAAAAUACCUGACCAGCACUCCUUAAAACUUCCACAGCCAAGAGGAACCUAAGCAGACAUGAUAACUCUAUACAGCGUGGGAUAGGAUCCUGGGACAGAUGGACUCUGGAUAAAAGCUAAGGAAAUCUAAAUAAACUGCGGACUUCAGUGCAUGCUAAGUUAUCCAUAUUGGUUCAUUAAUAGGAAGAAAAGUCCGUACUAAUGGAAGAUGUUAACAGCAGGGGAGAGUGGGUGACAGGUCUAUGGGAAUGCCUUUGUCUUAUCUUCUCAACUUUUCUGUAAGCCCAAACUGUCCUAAAAGUAAAGCCUUUGAAAGAAUAAGAAAGAAACAACACCCAAGGGCUGGAGACGCUGGAUGUGUCCUCACCUGUCACCACCAGCUCCAGGGUUUUGCUGUGCUCCGAUAAUUUGUACUCUUUCCUAUAUUGGCACUGAUAACGUCCUGCAGUGUUGGUAUUCAUGUGACUAAUGAGGAAUUCAGCCUUCUCCUGAAAUCCCAAUUUCUUCUCUACCACCUCAAAUGUGGGGUUUCUCAGGAUUUCCAGUUGGUACAAGUAAGACUCAGGAGUCCCCCAACACAGGAUCUUCACAGACUCAUUCCAGGGAAUCACAGAACCAGGUGUGGCAGAUAUAAUAGGAAUGGGAAAAUACCCUGGAAGAAAAUAGAGCCCAGAGUUAGGUGCCAGCCAUGGAGAAACUAUAGUGCUUUUCUUCUCUGUGGGGGAAAUGCAAAUAAGUUAAGGUCUGAAAGACCCAGGAUUCCUUCCUUUUUAAAAUCUUUUCUUUUCUUUUCUUUUUUUUUUUUUUUGGUAUAUUUCAAUUGUAGUAAAAUAUAUAUAACAUAAAA
RNAcentral lists this long non-coding RNA (12660 nucleotides) under Lynx pardinus (Iberian lynx). Lineage: Eukaryota; Metazoa; Chordata; Mammalia; Carnivora; Felidae. The record is from RNAcentral.